CAUACUCGGGGUUGCCGAGAAAGACCAUCUGCUCCCACUUGAUCUGGCCGAGCGUGUUGUUUUUGAUGAUGACUACUUUUAUCGGAAGCUCAUACUUCACAGCCGUGGCAAACUCACCCAUCAACAUCGUGAAGCCGCCAUCCCCGACGAAGGCGACGCAUUGCCGGUCAG
This 171-nucleotide unclassified non-coding RNA is filed under the name uncultured fungus. RNAcentral describes it as "sequence contains ITS1". The record is from RNAcentral. Lineage: Eukaryota; Fungi.